Molecule: non-coding RNA, 214 nt
Organism: Pelobates cultripes (western spadefoot toad)
Lineage: Eukaryota; Metazoa; Chordata; Amphibia; Anura; Pelobatidae
Source: the annotation of a GenBank genome assembly
GGGAGGAGAUGUGUGGGAGGUUACCGGGACAAGAUUGGCUACUGUAUUAAUGAAUGGAAAUCCCUCCCUUGCAUGGGAGCAUGCUAUAUAAGGCACUGUGGAAUAAAGGUUGUCAGUUCUGCUCCUGAUGCUGUGUGUCAUCUGGUCAUUGGGAUUGCUGUGGGGAUACUAUUGGAUUAUUUUGCCUGCUGGAAACUUUGCCUGUGGAUUUAUA